UGAGGAAUAUUGGACAAUGGUGGGAACACUGAUCCAGCCAUGCCGCGUGCAGGAAGACUGCCCUAUGGGUUGUAAACUGCUUUUAAACGGGAAGAAACACCCCCACGUGUGGGGGCUUGACGGUACCGUAAGAAUAAGGAUCGGCUAACUCCGUGCCAGCAGCCGCGGUAAUACGGAGGAUCCGAGCGUUAUCCGGAAUCAUUGGGUUUAAAGGGUCCGUAGGCGGAUUUGUAAGUCAGUGGUGAAAUCCGGCAGCUUAACUGUCGAACUGCCAUUGAUACUGUGAAUCUUGAAUUACUAUGAAGUGGUUAGAAUAUGUAGUGUAGCGGUGAAAUGCUUAGAUAUUACAUGGAAUACCAAUUGCGAAGGCAGAUCACUAAUAGUAUAUUGACGCUGAGGGACGAAAGCGUGGGUAGCGAACAGG
This 424-nucleotide ribosomal RNA is filed under the name uncultured Flavobacteriaceae bacterium. RNAcentral describes it as "bacterial SSU rRNA". It matches the Rfam family "Bacterial small subunit ribosomal RNA", at positions 355 to 776 of the family's 1533-position model. Lineage: Bacteria; Pseudomonadati; Bacteroidota; Flavobacteriia; Flavobacteriales; Flavobacteriaceae. The record is from RNAcentral.